This 430-nucleotide ribosomal RNA is filed under the name Pseudomonadota bacterium. RNAcentral describes it as "Proteobacteria bacterium partial 16S ribosomal RNA". It matches the Rfam family "Bacterial small subunit ribosomal RNA", at positions 355 to 776 of the family's 1533-position model. Lineage: Bacteria; Pseudomonadati; Pseudomonadota. The record is from RNAcentral.
UGGGGAAUAUUGGACAAUGGGCGGAAGCCUGAUCCAGCCAUGCCGCGUGUGUGAAGAAGGCCUUUUGGUUGUAAAGCACUUUAAGCGAGGAGGAGGCUCUUCUAGUUAAUACCUAGGAUGAGUGGACGUUACUCGCAGAAUAAGCACCGGCUAACUCUGUGCCAGCAGCCGCGGUAAUACAGAGGGUGCAAGCGUUAAUCGGAUUUACUGGGCGUAAAGCGUGCGUAGGCGGCUGAUUAAGUCGGAUGUGAAAUCCCUGAGCUUAACUUAGGAAUUGCAUUCGAUACUGGUCAGCUAGAGUAUGGGAGAGGAUGGUAGAAUUCCAGGUGUAGCGGUGAAAUGCGUAGAGAUCUGGAGGAAUACCGAUGGCGAAGGCAGCCAUCUGGCCUAAUACUGACGCUGAGGUACGAAAGCAUGGGGAGCAAACAGG